GAUGAACGCUGGCGGCGUGCUUAACACAUGCAAGUCGAACGGAAAGGCUCCUGCUUGCAGGGGUACUCGAGUGGCGAACGGGUGAGUAACACGUGGGUGAUCUGCCCUGCACUUCGGGAUAAGCUUGGGAAACUGGGUCUAAUACCGGAUAGGACCGCAUUUUGGAUGGUGUGGUGGAAAGUUUUUUCGGUGUGGGAUGAGCUCGCGGCCUAUCAGCUUGUUGGUGGGGUAAUGGCCUACCAAGGCGUCGACGGGUAGCCGGCCUGAGAGGGUGUACGGCCACAUUGGGACUGAGAUACGGCCCAGACUCCUACGGGAGGCAGCAGUGGGGAAUAUUGCACGAUGGGCGCAAGCCUGAUGCAGCGACGCCGCGUGGGGGAUGACGGCCUUCGGGUUGUAAACUCCUUUCGCUAGGGACGAAGAGUAAUUGACGGUACCUGGAGAAGAAGCACCGGCUAACUACGUG
RNAcentral lists this ribosomal RNA (466 nucleotides) under uncultured bacterium. Its description in RNAcentral is "partial 16S ribosomal RNA". It matches the Rfam family "Bacterial small subunit ribosomal RNA", at positions 28 to 507 of the family's 1533-position model. The record is from RNAcentral.